This 371-nucleotide transfer-messenger RNA is filed under the name marine eukaryotic metagenome. It matches the Rfam family "transfer-messenger RNA". From Rfam's summary of the family: Bacterial tmRNA, also known as 10Sa RNA or SsrA, is named for its dual tRNA and mRNA-like properties. Its role is to liberate the mRNA from a stalled ribosome. To accomplish this part of the tmRNA is used as a reading frame that ends in a translation stop signal. The record is from RNAcentral.
GGGGGCGAAACGGUUUCGACGGGGUCGUGCAAAUCGAGGCUGCGUGUCGAGGAGUUCGGUGACCUCGUAAAUACCGCCGGAAAACCCUACAAGUGCCAACAACAACAAGCACUUCGCUCUCGCUGCUUAAUUGAGAGCCGUCCGGACCCGAUGUUGCCAGGGGCACGGGUCUGGGCGUGUCUAGACCUGGAUAAUCCCGAAGCGUGAUGUGGCGUCGCGUGGGGGGAUGACAAAUAUACGAACCAAUUCGCCAUGAACGAAGGUCAAGGGGAUGCUCACAGCCCUGGCACUCGUUGUUUUCUGUGAGCUACACACGUAGACGCCGACAUGGAGCGGCUGCGGACGUGGGUUCGACUCCCACCGCCUCCACU